GCUUAACUGCAUUUUUUUACACAUGUGUUUUUCUUUUUUUGAAAACUUUGCUUUGGUGGGCCCACGGCCUGCCAGAGAUUAAACUCAACCAAAUUUUAUUUAAAGUCAACUGAUUAACUAAUAGUCAAAACUUUCAACAACGGAUCUCUUGGUUCUCGCAUCGAUGAAGAACGCAGCGAAAUGCGAUAAGUAAUAUGAAUUGCAGAUAUUCGUGAAUCAUCGAAUCUUUGAACGCACAUUGCGCCCUUUGGUAUUCCAAAGGGCAUGCCUGUUUGAGCGUCAUUUCUCCCUCAAACCUUCGGGUUUGGUGUUGAGCGAUACGCUGGGUUUGCUUGAAAGAAAGGCGGAGUAUAAACUAAUGGAUAGGUUUUUUUCCACUCAUUGGUACAAACUCCAAAAUUCUUCCAAAUUCGACCUCAAAUC
RNAcentral lists this unclassified non-coding RNA (423 nucleotides) under Lodderomyces orthopsilosis. RNAcentral's name for it is "partial contains ITS1, 5.8S rRNA and ITS2". The stretch from base 129 to 282 matches the Rfam family "5.8S ribosomal RNA". The record is from RNAcentral. Lineage: Eukaryota; Fungi; Ascomycota; Pichiomycetes; Serinales; Debaryomycetaceae.